GAUACCCCAGGUCAGGCRGGGCUACCCGCUGAGUUUAAGCAUAUCAAUAAGCGGAGGA
This 58-nucleotide ribosomal RNA is filed under the name Carpha glomerata. RNAcentral's name for it is "partial 28S ribosomal RNA". The record is from RNAcentral. Lineage: Eukaryota; Viridiplantae; Streptophyta; Magnoliopsida; Poales; Cyperaceae.